AGCGAACGCUGGCGGCAGGCCUAACACAUGCAAGUCGAACGGAACCUUCGGGAUUAGUGGCGGACGGGUGAGUAACACGUGGGAACGUGCCCUUUGGUUCGGAACAACUCAGGGAAACUUGAGCUAAUACCGGAUGUGCCCUUCGGGGGAAAGAUUUAUCGCCAUUGGAGCGGCCCGCGUCUGAUUAGCUAGUUGGUGAGGUAACGGCCCACCAAGGCGACGAUCAGUAGCUGGUCUGAGAGGAUGAUCAGCCACACUGGGACUGAGACACGGCCCAGACUCCUACGGGAGGCAGCAGUGGGGAAUCUUGCGCAAUGGGCGAAAGCCUGACGCAGCCAUGCCGCGUGAAUGAUGAAGGUCUUAGGAUUGUAAAAUUCUUUCAGCGGGGACGAUAAUGACGGUACCCGCAGAAGAAGCUCCGGCUAACUUCGUG
Molecule: ribosomal RNA, 433 nt
Filed under: uncultured bacterium
Lineage: Bacteria
Description: partial 16S ribosomal RNA
Rfam family: Bacterial small subunit ribosomal RNA
Source: RNAcentral